GUAGGCGGUUUAAUAAGUGAAUAGUGAAACCUGGUGGCUCAACCAUACAGACUAUUAUUCAAACUGUUAAACUCGAGAAUGGUAGAGGUAACUGGAAUUUCUAGUGUAGGAGUGAAAUCCGUAGAUAUUAGAAGGAACACCGAUGGCGUAGGCAGGUUACUGGGCCAUUUCUGACGCUAAGGCACGAAAGCGUGGGGAGCGAACCGGAUUAGAUACCCGGGUAGUCCACGCCGUAAACGAUGGAUACUAGCUGUUGGAGGUAUCGACCCCUUCAGUAGCGAAGCUAACGCGUUAAGUAUCCCGCCUGUGGAGUACGGCCGCAAGGCUAAAACAUAAAGGAAUUGACGGGGACCCGCACAAGCGGUGGAUUAUGUUCUUUAAUUCGAUGAUAACCGAAGAACCUUACCAGGGCUUGACAUCCAGGGAAGGUCUGCGAAAGUAGACUGUGCCUUUUGGAACCCUGUGACAGGUGAUGCAUGGCCGUCGUCAGCUCGUGUCGUGAGAUGUUAGGUUAAGUCCUUCAACGAGCGCAACCCUUGUGAAUAGUUGUAUUUUUCUAUUCAGACUGCCCCGGUAACGGGGAGGAAGGAGGGGAUGAUGUCAGGUCAGUAUUUCCCUUACGUCCUGGGCUAGAAACGUGAUACAAUGGCUAGUACAAUGCGCAGCGAAGCCCC
This 674-nucleotide ribosomal RNA is filed under the name uncultured Candidatus Saccharibacteria bacterium. RNAcentral's name for it is "bacterial SSU rRNA". It matches the Rfam family "Bacterial small subunit ribosomal RNA", at positions 571 to 1258 of the family's 1533-position model. Lineage: Bacteria; Candidatus Saccharimonadota. The record is from RNAcentral.